UUCAGUCAUGGCUGGAUACAUUCUCAGCACACAGGCACAUAGGGAUUGCUUUAAUUCGCAACAAAGUACCGCAAGAAAUUCGGCUUCGGGUUCGUCACUAGCACGAACCUGUUUCUUUCGCAACAAAUACUAGAGGAGGUGCAGGCACGCUAUCAGAAUAGUCUACUGGUUGAACUUGAAAUUGCAUCUCGGUAGGAAUUCACUCUUAUAGAAAGAGGUCUUACGAAACUUUGGGAACGUUUGGCUUGGGAAAAGACUCAAAAAGUUCCGGAAGAGACAGGCGAGAUAGUUCAAGAUUCAAUGCUCGAAGAAGACAUUGUGCCAGAUAGUUCUGACGAGGUUGUCUCUAAAGGACACCAACCUUCCAUCAUAACCUUUGACCUCAAUAAAACUUCAGAGGAGAAUGAUAUCUGUUGACUCAAUGCUUUAUUAUUAGUCUGACUUAUCU
Non-coding RNA from Arachis ipaensis, 448 nucleotides. The record is from RefSeq and is a predicted model, not a curated record. NCBI's taxonomy places the organism in Eukaryota, Viridiplantae, Streptophyta, Magnoliopsida, Fabales, Fabaceae.